Molecule: ribosomal RNA, 253 nt
Filed under: uncultured prokaryote
Description: partial 16S ribosomal RNA
Rfam family: Bacterial small subunit ribosomal RNA
Source: RNAcentral
UACGGAGGGGGCUAGCGUUGUUCGGAAUUACUGGGCGUAAAGCGCACGUAGGCGGCUUUGCAAGUCAGAGGUGAAAGCCUGGUGCUCAACACCAGAAUUGCCUUUGAGACUGCAUCGCUUGAACGUCGGAGAGGUGAGUGGAAUUCCGAGUGUAGAGGUGAAAUUCGUAGAUAUUCGGAAGAACACCAGUGGCGAAGGCGGCUCACUGGACGACUGUUGACGCUGAGGUGCGAAAGCGUGGGGAGCAAACAGG